Molecule: unclassified non-coding RNA, 3442 nt
Filed under: Leishmania donovani
Lineage: Eukaryota; Euglenozoa; Kinetoplastea; Trypanosomatida; Trypanosomatidae
Description: gene:LdHU3.27.3060(CDS-product:hypothetical_prote in_conserved)
Source: RNAcentral
CAGCGGCAUCUUCCCGCGUCUUCUUAUCGCCGACACCUUUAGCACUCUGCCUCAGGUGCGGCCAACUCAUAGUGAUCAGCCGAGUUUCUUUGUGUCAGGUGCUGAUGAAGGCGGCGGCAUCGUCGGCGUUUGUUCCUGCUGUUGCUGCUGCUAUUCCCACCGCUGCCUCUUUUUCUUACUCGAGGCCCAAAAUGCCGUCGGCCGAAGCGCUGAGCGGCGGUUCUGGCAGUGACAUUGGCGGCCUGAGGACCGACAGCGGGAGUCGAGCUCGCGCAGGCAAUACCAUAGCCUCUGAAACUGAUGCUGCGACGGAAGCGCAGCGCCUCCGAUCGGAGGGGACCCGGGAGAGCAGGGCUGGCCGUGGUGGCUGCGGCGACGGGAGAGGCGAUGCCUCCGUCAGCUGUGCUGACGUCAGCAUUGACCUGGCCGAGGUGCUUCCUCUCACGAGCUCCCCGCGUCUUUCUGCGAAGCGGGGGACUGGGGGCGGCGGCCGUAGCGCUACUGCCAGAGAAACCGAUGUUUCUGCGCUGCGUGAGGACGAGGUCUUCUCUGCCGAGCACGGUGCGGAGGUGCCCUCUGACCGGCUAGCAGCCCGCGCGGUUCCACUCGACGUGCCGCUCUUGACCACUGUUGAGGAACAGAGGCCGCACGGCUCGGCUUCCGACAUUCCCGCCGUGGUCGUCCUCCGUCAUCGCAUGGGCUGCAGCAUGGUUGUCCUGGCACCGCAUCAGCGAGCGUCCUACAGCCGCUACGACCUGGAGAACUUUGUGCUCUACAAGGAGCAGAAGUACAAUGCCGUCAACGUUCUCUGGCGGUUCUGCAUUCUGAUGCUGCUCGUGCUCAGCUUCACCGUCUUCUGUCUUGUUCUCUGCGCGUGCACGACGGAGUGGCUGAGCGUGCAGAACAACGACUCGUUCUUGUCCGUCGGGCUGUUCUUCUCGUGCCGAGAUGGGUUUCAGCGCACGUGCGCUUCAUGGCAGAGCGCGUGGGUGGAGUGGAUCGUUCUAGACAACGUCACCGGCGCCAUCCUCUGCCAUGCAUCUGCAGGAUUCGUUCGUCGCUUUAUUGGGGUGAUGUGGACGAUGGGCAUUCUGCAACUCCUGUGCGAGGUGGUGGCGCUGUUUCUGGGCUUUCGGAUUGCGGCUCGGCCGACACGAAGUGGUGCGCUUGUGCUGCUCUUUUUCGACCUCCUGCUGAGCCUCUGCAUUGGCAUUGUGACGGUGGUGCUGUUUGACCUCUACACCUCUUGCGUGCGGCGCACCUGCGAGGGCGAGCACGUGCCCGGCGAUGCGUGCAACGUUCACUACCGCUACGGGUACCGGCUGUACAUCGGCGCCGUCGCCGUGCAUGGGCUGCUGCUUGUGCUCGCGCUGUGCAUGCACAGCUACAUCCACAACAUCCGUGUCACGUCGCGCAACCAACUUCGAGCAGAGCGUCACCGGAUCUCCCGCGGUGCUCGGGCUGAAGACUACAUUGUGCAUAUGCUGAACUCGUCGACAACCUCCAGCGUCACACGUGAUGCCGCUGGUGGGAGCUGUGCUCGCAGUACCUGGGACGCCGCACGAACAACCUCGCAGCUUGAUGGUAAUCGGUCGACAAGGCAGCCGAGUAUUGUCGCCUCUGUUCCGAGAAGCGCAACAGCGACCAUCUCCAUGGGUGCCGUUGCAGCCCCUUUCAACAGUCGAAGGCAUGGCGAUCAAGACGGCAGUGAGGAUGAGGGCGCAAAUGGUGACGCGCUGCGCAGCGUCAACUCGACUUCAUUGCAGCCAGCAGCACCCGCACCCGAUAACUUCCUCGCCGGUGGCGUGGAUUUCAACGUCCAGUCUGCGCAUCGUGGCAUUGGCUGUGGCAUCGAUACUGCCACGACUGCUGCGUCAACAAGGCCCACUCCUGGCUCGCUUCCACUGCAGCACGGCGAGCUGCACGUUUCAUUUCUCGGCGUGCCGGACGAUACAGAUGACGAUGCGGGCUUCGGGUUGCUCAGUGACAGCGAAUCUCGCCGCUACCGACAGCAUCCGUCGGUGCCAACGCUUUCCUUCGACGACGGCGGCGCCCGCGCUGCUGCUGCUGGUGCAGCGACGGCGGCAUUCAACGCAUCAGAUCACAACACGGAGAGCAGCUUCGUCACGCGUGGCCGGAGCGCCGGGGCUGCGGUGGCGGCCGCCGGCGACAACGCCCAGCGCCAGCGUCGUGACCGGCAGCGAGCGUCGCCUGGGGAUUUGUCCCUGCCACGCACGGGUCGUCAGCGCAGCGCUGGGCCACAGACGGAAGCGACAGAGUCGUCGCUGUCCUCGAAGCAGAAGCGAGGCCUACCAGACAAGCGGCGUGCAGCGCCGGUUUAUCAGCAAGCCCGCAAGCGUCAGCACAAGUUUCUCCGCUUCUUCAACCGUGAGUACGACUCCAACUACCUUACCGCCGCGGAGCUCGGCGUGCUGAUCGCCGGCGCAACCGACUGGGUCUACGAUGACCGCAGUGACAUGUACUACUCCUUCGACCGCAACAUGUUCUGGGACCCGCUGACGCAGGAGUACUACAACUGCGCUUUAAAGUCGUGGCAGGAAUCACCUGACCAGGCCGUGGAGGUGCGUGACAUGUUGGACUACGUACUUGAGAGCCCGGCGAGCAGCCGUAGCCGCAGUGACAGUCGAUUUAAUCACGAGAGCAACGAGGAUUCGCUUAUGCUGAUUGAGAGCCCCACAAGGAUGGCCACCGACGGCGAUGAUGUGAACUCGAGCGGUGGCGUUCAUUAGACGGAGCUGCGGCGGCAGCGAGCACGGCGACACCACGGUGAGCCGACCACGUCUGUGACAGCCUUCCGCACGAUCACGACGCGAGUCGGUCCGAGUGGUGGUGGCAGGCCGAGCUUGUGCUCCUCUAACAACUGGCAGCAGAGCGGCAAUAUGCGAAGUAGAGAGCGGAUCUUUUCUAGCCCGAGAAUGGAAUGUACGUUGCCGCUGUCUGCCGAGAGCUCGGUGGAGCGUUGGCAGCCCGAAUGAUAUCUCCUCUUGGCACAUGCGCUGAUGAGCGCGCCCCCGCGCGUAUGUGGGCGAUUAUGCGUAGGCUUGCUGUUGUUCGUGUGCGCGCGUACUGCUUCGUUGUAGUAUUCGACGUUCGUCUCCCGUGCAGCUUACCCAUCCCCACUCGUAGACCCCCAGAACGAGCAAGCUCUCCCCCCUCUCCCGCACGAUAUGCAUUUUUUUUUUCCAGCUGUUUUACGCAGGUGCGCCAGCUGACGGCAAUGCACCACAGUCCUGCCGCCUUCCAUGGCCAAAUACGCGAGUGCCUGCGCACGCGCCGCUACGCAAAGCAGUGAAAACGGGGCCGCACGCACUCUGAUAGCGAAGGGCGUUGCGUGGGACGCGCACGUCCAGCAGCUCUCACCCGCCGUCACCGCUCUUAUCGUCGUCGUGCGCGCUGACGCCCCACUUUGUCCUUUUCAAUG